UGAGCCGCAAUAGCUCUCUGAGAGUGUGUGGACAUAUAUUGACAUUGAAAUCUGCAUGCCUAUUAGCUGAGUGAUACACCGAUCUGGGAAUCAUACCCAUUAUCUGUGCAGCCUCCAAGUGACGCUCUGGACACAUAGGGGCUGUGAAAGUAAACACUGCUGGGGACGUGAGGACAACGGAAAGACCAUGCGGCUGCAGGAAAGAAAAGCACAGCAUGCAUUAAUGAGGCAACCUAUAUUGUUCAAAGUUCAGUGCUGAAAGUAACAGCAAUAUCAUUUUCAGGCAAAUUAAAUAGCAAGCGCAUUAAGUAGUUACCACUAAA
This is a long non-coding RNA of Lacerta agilis (Sand lizard), 323 nucleotides long. RefSeq lists it as uncharacterized. The transcript has 2 exons. Lineage: Eukaryota; Metazoa; Chordata; Lepidosauria; Squamata; Lacertidae. The record is from RefSeq and is a predicted model, not a curated record.